UACGUAGGGUGCAAGCGUUAAUCGGAAUUACUGGGCGUCAAGCGUGCGCAGGCGGUUUUGUAAGUCUGACGUGAAAGCCCCGGGCUCAACCUGGGAAUUGCGUUGGAGACUGCAAGGCUUGAAUCUGGCAGAGGGGGGUAGAAUUCCACGUGUAGCAGUGAGAUGCGUAGAGAUGUGGAGGAACACCGAUGGCGAAGGCAGCCCCCUGGGUCAAGAUUGACGCUCAUGCACGAAAGCGUGGGGAGCAAACAGG
RNAcentral lists this ribosomal RNA (253 nucleotides) under uncultured bacterium. Its description in RNAcentral is "partial 16S ribosomal RNA". It matches the Rfam family "Bacterial small subunit ribosomal RNA", at positions 524 to 776 of the family's 1533-position model. The record is from RNAcentral.